This 520-nucleotide ribosomal RNA is filed under the name uncultured bacterium. RNAcentral describes it as "partial 16S ribosomal RNA". It matches the Rfam family "Bacterial small subunit ribosomal RNA", at positions 355 to 864 of the family's 1533-position model. The record is from RNAcentral.
UGGGGAAUAUUGCACAAUGGGCGCAAGCCUGAUGCAGCCAUGCCGCGUGUGUGAAGAAGGCCUUCGGGUUGUAAAGCACUUUCAGCGAGGAGGAAGGUGGUGAACUUAAUACGUUCAUCAAUUGACGUUACUCGCAGAAGAAGCACCGGCUAACUCCGUGCCAGCAGCCGCGGUAAUACGGAGGGUGCAAGCGUUAAUCGGAAUUACUGGGCGUAAAGCGCACGCAGGCGGUUUGUUAAGUCAGAUGUGAAAUCCCCGGGCUCAACCUGGGAACUGCAUUUGAAACUGGCAAGCUAGAGUCUCGUAGAGGGGGGUAGAAUUCCAGGUGUAGCGGUGAAAUGCGUAGAGAUCUGGAGGAAUACCGGUGGCGAAGGCGGCCCCCUGGACGAAGACUGACGCUCAGGUGCGAAAGCGUGGGGAGCAAACAGGAUUAGAUACCCCUGGUAGUCCACGCUGUAAAACGAUGUCGAUUUUGGAGGUUGUGCCCUUGGGGCGUGGCUUCCGGAGCUAACGCGUUAAA